CCCAAGAGAUCGGGAUAACACCUGGAAACAGAUGCUAAUACCGGAUAACAACAGAUGAUGCCUAUCAACUGUUUAAAAGAUGGUUCUGCUAUCACUCUUGGAUGGACCUGCGGUGCAUUAGCUAGUUGGUAGGGUAACGGCCUACCAAGGCGAUGAUGCAUAGCCGAGUUGAGAGACUGAUCGGCCACAUUGGGACUGAGACAUGGCCCAAACUCCUACGGGAGGCAGCAGAU
This 233-nucleotide ribosomal RNA is filed under the name uncultured Lactobacillus sp. RNAcentral's name for it is "partial 16S ribosomal RNA". It matches the Rfam family "Bacterial small subunit ribosomal RNA", at positions 129 to 354 of the family's 1533-position model. Lineage: Bacteria; Bacillati; Bacillota; Bacilli; Lactobacillales; Lactobacillaceae. The record is from RNAcentral.